RNAcentral lists this ribosomal RNA (1263 nucleotides) under Triticum aestivum (bread wheat). RNAcentral describes it as "partial small subunit ribosomal RNA". The record is from RNAcentral. Lineage: Eukaryota; Viridiplantae; Streptophyta; Magnoliopsida; Poales; Poaceae.
AUGAGACUCACGAGAGAGAUGUUAGAUCACGUCUCCCAAGAAACACAUGAUGGCAUAUGCAGCUUUUCCAAGCUUCAGGAGGUCUUGAAGGAUCAUAUUAAAUCAAAGAGGGUUCUACUUAUUUUAGAUGAUCUCUGGGAAGGCAUGGAUGAUGGCCGAUGCAACAAAUUGUUAGCUCCGUUCAGUUCUGAUGAUGCAACUGGCAAUAUGAUAAUUCUGACAACAAGAAAACCGUUUGUUGCCAAAAAGAGAGGUACAACUGGUCCAAUUAACUUAGAUGGUUUGAAAAAUGCUGAUUUCUGGUCAAUGUUCAAAGCAUGUGCAUUUGGUGAUGAGAAUUACAAAGAGCAAGCAAGUCUAGGUGACUUAGGACAGAAAAUAGCACAAAAUUUGAAAGGAAACCCAUUAGCAACACAAACUGUUGGGGCACUAUUAAGACAUCAUCUUACUGUGGAUCAUUGGAAUAACAUUCUGAAGACUGAAGAUUGGAAAUCCCUACAACACACUGGUGGUAUUAUGUCUGCCUUGAAGCUUUCCUAUGAUGAAUUGCCCUACCCUGUAGGGCAAUGCUUCUCAUAUUGUUCUAUAUUCCCCUACGGUUAUGGAUUUCUUGCUGAGGAGCUAGUUCGUCUUUGGAUUUCACAUGGAUUUGUGAAGCGUGAUCAUUCAAGUAAGAGUUUGGGGGAGAUGGGACGGUACUAUCUUAUUGACUUGGUGAACCGGGGCCUGUUUGAGCAGGUUGAACUUGAAUGUCAAACUUUCUAUGUUAUUUGCGGCCUGAUACAUGAUUUUGCAAGGCUAGUUUCAAGAACAGAGUGUGCAGCUUUGGAUGGUUUGCAGUGCAAUGAAAUUUUGCCAACUAUACACCAUUUGUCCAUGAUAACCAAUUUUGUAUAUCAGAGAGAUGGUCAGACUGGGAAUAUACCUCGUAAUGAGAGGUUUGAAUUUUCAUUGCAAAGUAUAGUCACAUUAGUGAGAAAAAUGAGAACAUUGGUGUUAAUUGGAGAAUAUGACUCUUUUUUCUUCAAAGCAUUCCAAGAUGUCUUUGAAGAAGCAAAUAAUCUGCGUCUGCUACAAAUGUCUGCAACAUCUCUUGAUUUUAAUUCCUUUCUGUGUAGCUUGGCAAAUCCUACACAUCUUCGAUAUCUAAAAAUUCAAUAUGGUCAUACUGAGCAGAAGGCUUUGCCUCGUGUUUUGAGCAGUUCUUCCAUCUUCAAGUAUUGGAUGUGGCUUUCUUUAAUGCAUUGCAUACAGUUCAUCUAG